GAUGAACGCUAGCUACAGGCUUAACACAUGCAAGUCGAGGGGUAACGAGAGGAAAGCUUGCUUUCCUUGUCGACGACCGGCGCACGGGUGAGUAACGCGUAUCCAACCUGCCCCCAACUAGGGAAUAACCUUGCGAAAGUAAGACUAAUACCCUAUAUUUUCCUCAGAUGUCAUCUGACGAGGAAUAAAGAUUUAUCGGUUGUGUAUGGGGAUGCGUCUGAUUAGCUUGUUGGCAGGGUAACGGCCCACCAAGGCAACGAUCAGUAGGGGUUCUGAGAGGAAGGUCCCCCACAUUGGAACUGAGACACGGUCCAAACUCCUACGGGAGGCAGCAGUGAGGAAUAUUGGUCAAUGGGCGGAAGCCUGAACCAGCCAAGUAGCGUGCAGGAUGACGGCCCUAUGGGUUGUAAACUGCUUUUAUACAGGAAUAAAGUUAGCCACGUGUGGUUAUUUGUAGGUACUGUAUGAAUAAGGACCGGCUAAUUCCGUGCCAGCCGCCGCAGUAA
Molecule: ribosomal RNA, 506 nt
Filed under: uncultured bacterium
Lineage: Bacteria
Description: partial 16S ribosomal RNA
Rfam family: Bacterial small subunit ribosomal RNA
Source: RNAcentral